This 1017-nucleotide ribosomal RNA is filed under the name uncultured bacterium. RNAcentral describes it as "bacterial SSU rRNA". It matches the Rfam family "Bacterial small subunit ribosomal RNA", at positions 355 to 1375 of the family's 1533-position model. The record is from RNAcentral.
UGAGGAAUAUUGGUCAAUGGACGCGAGUCUGAACCAGCCAAGUAGCGUGAAGGAUGACUGCCCUAUGGGUUGUAAACUUCUUUUAUAUGGGAAUAAAGUGGUCCACGUGUGGACUUUUGUAUGUACCAUAUGAAUAAGGAUCGGCUAACUCCGUGCCAGCAGCCGCGGUAAUACGGAGGAUCCGAGCGUUAUCCGGAUUUAUUGGGUUUAAAGGGAGCGUAGGCGGAUUGUUAAGUCAGUUGUGAAAGUUUGCGGCUCAACCGUAAAAUUGCAGUUGAUACUGGCAGUCUUGAGUGCAGUAGAGGUGGGCGGAAUUCGUGGUGUAGCGGUGAAAUGCUUAGAUGUCACGAAGAACUCCGAUUGCGAAGGCAGCUCACUGGAGUGUAACUGACGCUGAUGCUCGAAAGUGUGGGUAUCAAACAGGAUUAGAUACCCUGGUAGUCCACACAGUAAACGAUGAAUACUCGCUGUUUGCGAUAUACAGUAAGCGGCCAAGCGAAAGCGUUAAGUAUUCCACCUGGGGAGUACGCCGGCAACGGUGAAACUCAAAGGAAUUGACGGGGGCCCGCACAAGCGGAGGAACAUGUGGUUUAAUUCGAUGAUACGCGAGGAACCUUACCCGGGCUUGAAUUGCAACUGAAUGAUGUGGAGACAUGUCAGCCGCAAGGCAGUUGUGAAGGUGCUGCAUGGUUGUCGUCAGCUCGUGCCGUGAGGUGUCGGCUUAAGUGCCAUAACGAGCGCAACCCUUAUCGAUAGUUACCAUCAGGUUAUGCUGGGGACUCUGUCGAGACUGCCGUCGUAAGAUGUGAGGAAGGUGGGGAUGACGUCAAAUCAGCACGGCCCUUACGUCCGGGGCUACACACGUGUUACAAUGGGGGGUACAGAAGGCAGCUACACGGCGACGUGAUGCUAAUCCCGAAAGCCUCUCUCAGUUCGGAUUGGAGUCUGCAACCCGACUCCAUGAAGCUGGAUUCGCUAGUAAUCGCGCAUCAGCCACGGCGCGGUGAAUACGUUCCC